This is a non-coding RNA of Beta vulgaris subsp. vulgaris (sugar beet), 84 nucleotides long. The record is from Rfam. Lineage: Eukaryota; Viridiplantae; Streptophyta; Magnoliopsida; Caryophyllales; Amaranthaceae.
GCACCGGUGGUGGAGUGGUCUAACACGUACGAUUCAGGUUCGUAUCUUGCUUGCAAGGCGCGGGUUCGAAUCCCGUCUGGUGCA